GAGUAAUGUCUGGGAAACUGCCUGAUGGAGGGGGAUAACUACUGGAAACGGUGGCUAAUACCGCAUAACGUCGCAAGACCAAAGAGGGGGACCUUCGGGCCUCUUGCCAUCAGAUGUGCCCAGAUGGGAUUAGCUUGUUGGUGAGGUAACGGCUCACCAAGGCGACGAUCCCUAGCUGGUCUGAGAGGAUGACCAGCCACACUGGAACUGAGACACGGUCCAGACUCCUACGGGAGGCAGCAGUGGGGAAUAUUGCACAAUGGGCGCAAGCCUGAUGCAGCCAUGCCGCGUGUAUGAAGAAGGCCUUCGGGUUGUAAAGUACUUUCAGCGGGGAGGAAGGUGUUGUGGUUAAUAACCGCAGCAAUUGACGUUACCCGCAGAAGAAGCACCGGCUAACUCCGUGCCAGCAGCCGCGGUAAUACGGAGGGUGCAAGCGUUAAUCGGAAUUACUGGGCGUAAAGCGCACGCAGGCGGUCUGUCAAGUCGGAUGUGAAAUCCCCGGGCUCAACCUGGGAACUGCAUUCGAAACUGGCAGGCUUGAGUCUUGUAGAGGGGGGUAGAAUUCCAGGUGUAGCGGUGAAAUGCGUAGAGAUCUGGAGGAAUACCGGUGGCGAAGG
This 617-nucleotide ribosomal RNA is filed under the name Salmonella enterica subsp. enterica serovar Dublin. Its description in RNAcentral is "bacterial SSU rRNA". It matches the Rfam family "Bacterial small subunit ribosomal RNA", at positions 108 to 721 of the family's 1533-position model. The record is from RNAcentral. Lineage: Bacteria; Pseudomonadati; Pseudomonadota; Gammaproteobacteria; Enterobacterales; Enterobacteriaceae.